This is a long non-coding RNA of Sander lucioperca (pikeperch), 161 nucleotides long. RefSeq lists it as uncharacterized. The transcript has 2 exons. NCBI's taxonomy places the organism in Eukaryota, Metazoa, Chordata, Actinopteri, Perciformes, Percidae. The record is from RefSeq and is a predicted model, not a curated record.
GGGUCACUUUCUCACAGACUUCUACAGAAACUGAACUCCUUUUGCAACCGCACGUGUCGCCCCCUGCUGGAAUUCAGAUAGAAAGCAGGUUUAAGGAGUCUCCCCCUGCAGGUAUUCAGAUAUAAUACAGGUUUAAGGAGUCUCCCCCUGCAGGAAUUCAG